This 30-nucleotide non-coding RNA is filed under the name Rattus norvegicus (Norway rat). The record is from RNAcentral. Lineage: Eukaryota; Metazoa; Chordata; Mammalia; Rodentia; Muridae.
UGAGAAAAUUAACCGCCCACUCCUUGAUGA